AGAGAGAGAGGGGAAAAAAAGUGCUGGAAAGCUGACAUUGAAGUUUUGAGUUCUGCAUGAUAAAGGCCCCAGAGUCCGGAUUAGAUGGAAAAACUACGGAGGGUGGCAACAGUAAUGCCAUUUAAACAGUAAAUUUGCCCACGGCUUUUUGGAAGGCCUUCCCCUGCUGCUGUAUCCAAUCCUGCUGCAGUGGGUAAUGUUUGGCCCCCCUUUGAGCAUGUACUGUGAUUGGAGCCAUGCCCUAGGUCAUUUCAAUCCCUGAGAGAGGAAGUACAAGAAGCAAUGUUUGCUCUUCAUUCAACAUGCAGUAAUACACAGUUUUGUUGAUACCAUGUAAGAAGAUGAAGAAUGUUCAUUGCACACAAAUGCAGUUUUUAGCCUGAUGGAUUGCAGAUCAAAAGGUUAAAGAGAGAAUUUAUUAAGAAUGA
This is a long non-coding RNA of Pogona vitticeps (central bearded dragon), 428 nucleotides long. RefSeq lists it as uncharacterized. Lineage: Eukaryota; Metazoa; Chordata; Lepidosauria; Squamata; Agamidae. The record is from RefSeq and is a predicted model, not a curated record.